GAUUGGUGGAGUGACCGUGCCGCGUCAACACAAGGAGGUCGUCAUAGCCACCAUAAUCAUCGAUAUCCUUCUCCUCCAUCUCCCCGUCAUCAUCAUUUUGAUAAUAACGGUGAUAAUCAUCAUCGACAUCAACACCCUCAACAGCAGCCGCAGCAGCAGUCUGCUGGACUCGCGUUGGAGAGGGCACUGCAUUCGCCGGAACCACACCCGACGCCGCC
This 218-nucleotide long non-coding RNA is filed under the name Volvox carteri. Its description in RNAcentral is "long non-coding RNA (VCAR_LNC000232)". The record is from RNAcentral. Lineage: Eukaryota; Viridiplantae; Chlorophyta; Chlorophyceae; Chlamydomonadales; Volvocaceae.